Molecule: unclassified non-coding RNA, 334 nt
Filed under: Hevea brasiliensis (rubber tree)
Lineage: Eukaryota; Viridiplantae; Streptophyta; Magnoliopsida; Malpighiales; Euphorbiaceae
Source: RNAcentral
AAGCUCACCAAGUUGGUUUAUUGUGCGUGGUUUGAGGUGUAACAUUGACUCCAAUGAUUUGUGUUCAUGAAAUUGUCGAAAGUCCCCACCAAUUGCUGAUAUUAGUGAUAUUUGUUUCCAAGUAGAGGCAGCAAAAUUGUGAUUGCUAUUCCGUGAAGUAAUCAUCUUUUAGUGACUGCAUGAUAGGUUUUAUGAAAUACUGAAGGUCUCAAAGGCAAUUGUAAUAUUAGCCUAGCUUUGUAUACUACUUUUUGUGGGGAAAUAUUACAAUGUACUUCAGCUCCAUUCUUGUGUUGGUUCCUUGAAUGACCUGCAUCAGUGUUGAUAGUUGAUG